UGUGUGUGUGUGUGUGUGUGUGUGUGUGUGUGUGUGUGUGUGCGUGUGUGUGCGUGUGCGUGUGUGUGGAAACCAGAAGCAACCAGCAGUCUGAGUCAAUGAUUGACAACGGGUACCUCCCGCUCUCUCAUCUCAUCUCAUCUUACCUCCACCUCCUCCCCCCUUCAUCUCCUCUCCUACCAUCCUCUCCUCCUCUUCCUCUCUUCCCCUUUCUAUCUUCCCCUUCCUCUCCUCUCCUCCCUGUCUCUCUCACCUCCCCCUCCUCUCCUUCCUCUCCUCCCUCUCCCCUUUCCCCUCAUUCUCACCCCUUCUUCAUUCUCAACCCUUCCUCUUCCAACCAGGCUCAUUUGCAUAGGAUGCCUGAUUUGCAUACAUAUGAGGGAAAGAGAAAAGGGGACUUGAAGAGAGGAGGGGAGAGGAGAUGAGGAGAAGAGAGAAGAGGAGAUAUGCAGACGUUUACUGAUGAAAAGGAAGAGAAGGCCCUUUCACAGCUUCUCUCUCUCCCCCUCCCCCGCUCUAUCUUUCUUUCUCUCUCUCUGCUCUCUCUUUCUCUCUGUUCUCUCCCUUUGGUUCACACCUCAGAGAGAUCCUGUGAAGGCCCUAUUAACAUCUACUCUUCCUCACUCUGAAAGGAAAGAAAAGAGGAGGUGAUGAGAGAGGAGACAGAGAGAGGACAGAGAAGGGAAGAGACAGAACAGAGGAGAGAGGAGAGAGGACAGAGGAGAGAGGACAGAGGAGAGGAACAGAGGAGGUGAGGAGAGAGGACAGAGGACAGAGGACAGAGGAGGUGAGGAGAGAGGACAGAGGAGAGAGGACAGAGGAGAGAGAACAGAGAGGAGAGAGGACAGAGAAGAGAGGACAGAGGAGAGAGAACAGAGGUGAGGAGAGAGGACAGAGGAGAGAGAACAGAGGUGAGGAGAGUAGACAGAGGAGAUAGGACAGAGGAGGGUCGGGGGAGAACAGAGGACAGAGGAGAGAUGACAGAGGAGAGAGAACAGAGGACAGAGGAGAGAGGAUAGAGGAGAGAGAACAGAGGAGAGAGGACAGAGGAGAGAGGGCAGAGAGAGGAGAGAGGAUGGAGGAGAGAGGACAGAGAGAGAGAACAGAGGAGAGAGGACAGAGGAGAGAGGACAGAGGAGAGAGAACAGAGGAGAGAGGAGAGAGGACAGAGGGGAGAGGACAGAGGAGAGAGAACAGAGGAGGUGAGGAGAGAGGACAGAGGAGAGAGGACAGAGGAGAGAGAACAGAGGAGAGAGGACAGAGAACAGAGGAGGUGAGGAGAGAGGACAGAGGAGAGAGGACAGAGGAGAGAACAGAGGAGAGAGGAGAGAGGACAGAGGAGAGAGAACAGAGGAGGUGAGGAGAGAGGACAGAGGAGAGAGGACAGAGGAGAGAGGACAGAGGAGAGAGAACAGAGGAGAGAGGACAGAGGAGAGAGGAGAGAGGUCAGAGGAGAGAGGACAGUGUUGUUGCUAUGGCAGUGUUGUUGCCAUGGUGUUGUUGUUGCCAUGGCUGCAUUGUUGCCAUGGCAUUGUUGCCAUGUUGGUGUUGUUGCUGUGGCAGUAUUGUUGCCAUUGCGUUGUUGUUGCCAUGGCUGAAUUGCACUCCACUGCAACCCCUCAGUUGAAAGUCAUUGAUUGGCUGUGAAGCCUUCAUUCUCCCCUGCAGGGCGGCCGGGCUACAGCUCUACUCUACUCUAUUCUACUCUAUUCUGCUCUACACUGUUCUACUCUACACUACACCUCCAGGAGGUACAGAGCACCCCUACGCCCCACACACACACAUGCUAGAGACAUACACACACAAACCUACAUGCAUAUUAACACCCUCAGAGGUUGGGAUACUGUGGAAGAGAGAUAUCUUUGAAAGCAGGGAUUGAGAGAUAGAAAUAGAGGGAGGAGAAGAGAAGAAAGGAGAGAUUGAGAGAGAAAUAGAGGGAGGAGAAGAGAAGAAAGGCGAGAUUGAGAGAUAGAAAUAGAGGGAGGAGAAGAGAAGAAAGGAGAGAUUGAGAGAGAAAUAGAGGGAGGAGAAGAGAAGAAAGGAGAGAUUGAGAGAGAAAUAGAGGGAGGAGAAGAGAAGAAAGGAGAGAUUGAGAGAUAGAAAUAGAGGGAGGAGAAGAGAAGAAAGGAGAGAUUGAGAGAUAGAAAUAGAGGGAGGAGAAGAGAAGAAAGGAGAGAUUGAGAGAUAGAAAUAGAGGGAGGAGAAGAGAAGAAAGGAGAGAUUGAGAGAUAGAAAUAGAGGGAGGAGAAAAGAAGAAAGGAGAGAUGGAUGUGGCCCUUCCUCUCUCUGUCCAUUUGUCUUUGAUCUCUCAGUCCAUCUGAAAGGGUCCUGCACCACACUGGGAAUAACAACCUCUACCCUCCCACCGCUGGACACACACACACACACA
This 2389-nucleotide long non-coding RNA is filed under the name Salmo salar (Atlantic salmon). RNAcentral's name for it is "lncRNA (ENSSSAG00000090005.1)". Lineage: Eukaryota; Metazoa; Chordata; Actinopteri; Salmoniformes; Salmonidae. The record is from RNAcentral.